This 497-nucleotide ribosomal RNA is filed under the name uncultured bacterium. Its description in RNAcentral is "partial 16S ribosomal RNA". It matches the Rfam family "Bacterial small subunit ribosomal RNA", at positions 28 to 507 of the family's 1533-position model. The record is from RNAcentral.
GAUGAACGCUGGCGGCGUGCCUAAUACAUGCAAGUCGAGCGAACGGACGAGAAGCUUGCUUCUCUGAUGUUAGCGGCGGGCGGGUGAGUAACACGUGGAUAACCUACCUAUAAGACUGGGAUAACUUCGGGAAACCGGAGCUAAUACCGGAUAAUAUUUUGAACCGCAUGGUUCAAAAGUGAAAGACGGUCUUGCUGUCACUUAUAGAUGGAUCCGCGCUGCAUUAGCUAGUUGGUAAGGUAACGGCUUACCAAGGCGACGAUGCAUAGCCGACCUGAGAGGGUGAUCGGCCACACUGGAACUGAGACACGGUCCAGACUCCUACGGGAGGCAGCAGUAGGGAAUCUUCCGCAAUGGGCGAAAGCCUGACGGAGCAACGCCGCGUGAGUGAUGAAGGUCUUCGGAUCGUAAAACUCUGUUAUUAGGGAAGAACAAAUGUGUAAGUAACUGUGCACAUCUUGACGGUACCUAAUCAGAAAGCCACGGCUAACUACGUG